GUCGAACGCGAAAGUUUCCUUCGGGGAACAAGUAGAGUGGCGCACGGGUGAGUAACACGUAGGUAAUCUACCUUUGGAUGGGGAAUAACAACCGGAAACGGUUGCUAAUACCGCAUAAUGCAGCGGCACCUAAUGGUGACAGUUGUUAAAGCGGGGAUCGAAAGACCUCGCGUCUGAAGAGGAGCCUGCGGCAGAUUAGCUAGUUGGUAAGGUAACGGCUUACCAAGGCGAUGAUCUGUAGCCGGCCUGAGAGGGCGGUCGGCCACACUGACACUGACAUACGGGUCAGACUCCUACGGGAGGCAGCAGUCGGGAAUUUUGGGCAAUGGGCGAAAGCCUGACCCAGCAACGCCGCGUGAAGGAUGAAAUCCCUCGGGAUGUAAACUUCGCAAGAACGGGAAGAAUAAGUCUGUGCUAACACCACAGGCGAUGACGGUACCGUUUGUAAGCUCCGGCUAACUCCGUGCUAGCAGCCGCGGUAAUACGGGGGGAGCAAGCGUUGUUCGGAUUUACUGGGCGUAAAGGGCGCGUAGGCGGCCACCGCAAGUCGAUUGUGAAAUCUCCGGGCUUAACCCGGAAAGGUCAACCGAUACUGCGGGGCUAGAGUGCAGAAGGGGCAACUGGAAUUCUCGGUGUAGCGGUGAAAUGCGUAGAUAUCGAGAGGAACACCUGCGGCGAAGGCGGGUUGCUGGGCUGACACUGACGCUGAAGUGCGAAAGCUAGGGGAGCGAACGGGAUUAGAUACCCCGGUAGUCCUAGCCUUAAACGAUGAAUGCUUGGUGUCUGGGGUUCUAUAG
This 797-nucleotide ribosomal RNA is filed under the name uncultured Bacillota bacterium. RNAcentral's name for it is "bacterial SSU rRNA". It matches the Rfam family "Bacterial small subunit ribosomal RNA", at positions 61 to 836 of the family's 1533-position model. The record is from RNAcentral. Lineage: Bacteria; Bacillati; Bacillota.